Molecule: long non-coding RNA, 299 nt
Organism: Gorilla gorilla gorilla (western lowland gorilla)
Lineage: Eukaryota; Metazoa; Chordata; Mammalia; Primates; Hominidae
Exons: 3
Source: RefSeq, a predicted model, not a curated record
GAUGCUGGCUGAGAUCAACCAUUCGGUUUUUGACACAGGACAGCAAUUGUUACUGAAAUUUACCUGGGCCUCCUAAGACCUGGCUUCUUCUUCUGUGGAGAGAGAAUAACAGGAACAUCUGCUUCAAGAUUUUCAUAAAGGUCAACUAAGAAAUGUGACAAGGACAAAGCAAAGGAAUCAGUGACUGCCAAUUGUCAUGUUGCCUGGGACAAUAGCCUAAUUAGACCACCGAAGAAGACUGCAAGGUGGAGAGGAAAUCACCUAGGCCUGAAGACAGAUAAGCAAUUACCAGCUACGGG